Molecule: ribosomal RNA, 1512 nt
Filed under: Vibrio diabolicus
Lineage: Bacteria; Pseudomonadati; Pseudomonadota; Gammaproteobacteria; Vibrionales; Vibrionaceae
Description: bacterial SSU rRNA
Rfam family: Bacterial small subunit ribosomal RNA
Source: RNAcentral
AGAGUUUGAUCAUGGCUCAGAUUGGGCGCUGGCGGCAGGCCUAACACAUGCACGUCGAGCGGAAACGAGUUAUCUGAACCUUCGGGGAACGAUAACGGCGUCGAGCGGCGUACGGGUGAGUAAUGCCUAGGAAAUUGCCCUGAUGUGGGGGAUAACCAUUGUAAACGAUGGCUAAUACCGCAUGAUGCCUACGGGCCACAGAGGGGGACCUUCGGGCCUCUCGCGUCAGGAUAUGCCUAGGUGGGAUUAGCUAGUUGGUGAGGUAAGGGCUCACCAAGGCGACGAUCCCUAGCUGGUCUGAGAGGAUGAUCAGCCACACUGGAACUGAGCCACGGUCCACACUAAUACGGGAGGCAGCAGUGGGGAAUAUUGCACAAUGGGCGCAAGCCUGAUGCAGCCAUGCCGCGUGUAUGAAGAAGGCCUUCGGGUUGUAAAGUACUUUCAGUCGUGAGGAAGGUGGCGUCGUUAAUAGCGGCGUUAUUUGACGUUAGCGACAGAAGAAGCACCGGCUAACUCCGUGCCAGCAGCCGCGGUAAUACGGAGGGUGCGAGCGUUAAUCGGAAUUACUGGGCGUAAAGCGCAUGCAGGUGGUUUGUUAAGUCAGAUGUGAAAGCCCGGGGCUCAACCUCGGAAUAGCAUUUGAAACUGGCAGACUAGAGUACUGUAGAGGGGGGUAGAAUUUCAGGUGUAGCGGUGAAAUGCGUAGAGAUCUGAAGGAAUACCGGUGGCGAAGGCGGCCCCCUGGACAGAUACUGACACUCAGAUGCGAAAGCGUGGGGAGCAAACAGGAUUAGAUACCCUGGUAGUCCACGCCGUAAACGAUGUCUACUUGGAGGUUGUGGCCUUGAGCCGUGCCUUUCGGAGCUAACGCGUUAAGUAGACGGCCUGGGGAGUACGGCCGCAAGAUUAAAACUCAAAUGAAUUGACGGGGGCCCCGCCAAGCGGUGGAGCAUGUGGUUUAAUUCGAUGCAACGCGAAGAACCUUACCUACUCUUGACAUCCAGAGAACUUUCCAGAGAUGGAUUGGUGCCUUCGGGAACUCUGAGACAGGUGCUGCAUGGCUGUCGUCAGCUCGUGUUGUGAAAUGUUGGGUUAAGUCCCGCAACGAGCGCAACCCUUAUCCUUGUUUGCCAGCGAGUAAUGUCGGGAACUCCAGGGAGACUGCCGGUGAUAAACCGGAGGAAGGUGGGGACGACGUCAAGUCAUCAUGGCCCUUACGAGUAGGGCUACACACGUGCUACAAUGGCGCAUACAGAGGGCGGCCAACUUGCGAAAGUGAGCGAAUCCCAAAAAGUGCGUCGUAGUCCGGAUUGGAGUCUGCAACUCGACUCCAUGAAGUCGGAAUCGCUAGUAAUCGUGGAUCAGAAUGCCACGGUGAAUACGUUCCCGGGCCUUGUACACACCGCCCGUCACACCAUGGGAGUGGGCUGCAAAAGAAGUAGGUAGUUUAACCUUCGGGGGGACGCUUACCACUUUGUGGUCAUGGCCCCGGGUGAAGUCGUACCAAGGUAA